GAUGAAGAACGUAGCGAAAUGCGAUAAGUAAUGUGAAUUGCAGAAUUCAGUGAAUCAUCGAAUCUUUGAACGCUCAUUGCGCCCAUUAGUAUUCUAGUGGGCAUGCCUGUUCGAGCGUCAUUAAGUCCACUUAAGCCCUGCUUAGUGUUGGGAGACUGCUCCAGCGGUGCUACCCUGUAGCUACCCUGCAGCUCCUCAAAGACAGCGGCGGAGUUGUGGUAUCCUCUGAGCUUAGUAACUUGUUCUAGCUUUCGAGUACACCACUUCCCCUGCCGUAAAACCCUUAAUUUUUAAUGGUUGACCUCGGAUCAGGUAGGAAUACCCGCUGAACUUAAGCAUAUCAAUAAGCGGAGGA
RNAcentral lists this unclassified non-coding RNA (355 nucleotides) under soil metagenome. Its description in RNAcentral is "partial contains 5.8S ribosomal RNA, internal transcribed spacer 2, and large subunit ribosomal RNA". The stretch from base 1 to 120 matches the Rfam family "5.8S ribosomal RNA", at positions 35 to 154 of the family's 154-position model. The record is from RNAcentral.